RNAcentral lists this microRNA precursor (59 nucleotides) under Macaca mulatta (Rhesus monkey). Its description in RNAcentral is "microRNA mml-mir-7179 precursor". The record is from miRBase by way of RNAcentral. Lineage: Eukaryota; Metazoa; Chordata; Mammalia; Primates; Cercopithecidae.
AUACGUGACAAAGCUCCUGAAAAUAAGUCAGAUAUUUUCAGGAACUUUGUCACGUAUGA